GACGAACGCGGGCGGCGUGCUUAAUACAUGCAAGUAGAACGCUGAAGCUUGGUGCUUGCACCGAGCGGAUGAGUUGCGAACGGGUGAGUAACGCGUAGGUAACCUGCCUGGUAGCGGGGGAUAACUAUUGGAAACGAUAGCUAAUACCGCAUAAAAUGGAUUAUCGCAUGAUAAUCGAUUGAAAGGUGCAAAUGCAUCACUACCAGAUGGACCUGCGUUGUAUUAGCUAGUUGGUGGGGUAACGGCUCACCAAGGCGACGAUACAUAGCCGACCUGAGAGGGUGAUCGGCCACACCGGGACUGAGACACGGCCCAGACUCCUACGGGAGGCAGCCAGUAGGGAAUCUUCGGCAAUGGACGGAAGUCUGACCGAGCAACGCCGCGUGAGUGAAGAAGGUUUUCGGAUCGUAAAGCUUCUGUUGUAAGAGAAGAACGAGUGUGAGAGUGGAAAGUUCACACUGGACGGUCUACCAAAAGA
RNAcentral lists this ribosomal RNA (478 nucleotides) under Streptococcus sp. oral taxon 070. RNAcentral's name for it is "bacterial SSU rRNA". It matches the Rfam family "Bacterial small subunit ribosomal RNA", at positions 28 to 489 of the family's 1533-position model. Lineage: Bacteria; Bacillati; Bacillota; Bacilli; Lactobacillales; Streptococcaceae. The record is from RNAcentral.